AGAAUAAGCACCGGCUAACUACGUGCCAGCAGCCGCGGUAAUACGUAGGGUGCGAGCGUUAAUCGGAAUUACUGGGCGUAAAGCGAGCGCAGACGGUUACUUAAGCAGGAUGUGAAAUCCCCGGGCUCAACCUGGGAACUGCGUUCUGAACUGGGUGACUAGAGUGUGUCAGAGGGAGGUAGAAUUCCACGUGUAGCAGUGAAAUGCGUAGAGAUGUGGAGGAAUACCGAUGGCGAAGGCAGCCUCCUGGGAUAACACUGACGUUCAUGCUCGAAAGCGUGGGUAGCAAACAGGAUUAGAUACCCUGGUAGUCCACGCCCUAAACGAUGUCAAUUAGCUGUUGGGCAACUUGAUUGCUUAGUAGCGUAGCUAACGCGUGAAAUUGACCGCCUGGGGAGUACGGUCGCAAGAUUAAAACUCAAAGGAAUUGACGGGGACCCGCACAAGCGGUGGAUGAUGUGGAUUAAUUCGAUGCAACGCGAAGAACCUUACCUGGUCUUGACAUGUACGGAAUCCUCCAGAGACGGAGGAGUGCCUUCGGGAGCCGUAACACAGGUGCUGCAUGGCUGUCGUCAGCUCGUGUCGUGAGAUGUUGGGUUAAGUCCCGCAACGAGCGCAACCCUUGUCAUUAGUUGCCAUCAUUAAGUUGGGCACUCUAAUGAGACUGCCGGUGACAAGCCGGAGGAAGGUGGGGAUGACGUCAAGUCCUCAUGGCCCUUAUGACCAGGGCUUCACACGUCAUACAAUGGUCGGUACAGAGGGUAGCCAAGCCGCGAGGUGGAGCCAAUCUCACAAAACCGAUCGUAGUCCGGAUUGCACUCUGCAACUCGAGUGCAUGAAGUCGGAAUCGCUAGUAAUCGCAGGUCAGCAUACUGCGGUGAAUACGUUCCCGGGUCUUGUACACACCGCCCGUCACACCAUGGGAGUGGGGGAUACCAGAAGUAGGUAGGGUAACCGUAAGGAGCCCGCUUACCACGGUAUGCUUCAUGACUGGGGUGAAGUCGUAACAAGGUAGCCGUAGGGGAACCUGCGGCUG
This 1036-nucleotide ribosomal RNA is filed under the name metagenome. RNAcentral's name for it is "bacterial SSU rRNA". It matches the Rfam family "Bacterial small subunit ribosomal RNA", at positions 483 to 1520 of the family's 1533-position model. The record is from RNAcentral.